RNAcentral lists this ribosomal RNA (506 nucleotides) under uncultured bacterium. Its description in RNAcentral is "partial 16S ribosomal RNA". It matches the Rfam family "Bacterial small subunit ribosomal RNA", at positions 29 to 523 of the family's 1533-position model. The record is from RNAcentral.
AGUGAACGCUGGCGGUAGGCCUAACACAUGCAAGUCGAACGGCAGCACAGGAGAGCUUGCUCUCUGGGUGGCGAGUGGCGGACGGGUGAGGAAUACAUCGGAAUCUACUCUGUCGUGGGGGAUAACGUAGGGAAACUUACGCUAAUACCGCAUACGACCUACGGGUGAAAGCAGGGGACCUUCGUGCCUUGCGCGAUUGAAUGAGCCGAUGUCGGAUUAGCUAGUUGGCGGGGUAAAGGCCCACCAAGGCGACGAUCCGUAGCUGGUCUGAGAGGAGAGUCAGCCACACUGGAACUGAGACACGGUCCAGACUCCUACGGGAGGCAGCAGUGGGGAAUAUUGGACAAUGGGCGCAAGCCUGAUCCAGCCAUACCGCGUGGGUGAAGAAGGCCUUCGGGUUGUAAAGCCCUUUUGUUGGGAGAGAAAUCCAGCUGGCUAGUACCCGGUUGGGAUGACGGUACCCAAAGAAUAAGCACCGGCUAACUUCGUGCCAGCCGCCGCCGUAA